Molecule: ribosomal RNA, 200 nt
Filed under: uncultured bacterium
Lineage: Bacteria
Description: partial 16S ribosomal RNA
Rfam family: Bacterial small subunit ribosomal RNA
Source: RNAcentral
UACAGAGGGUGCAAGCGUUGUUCGGAAUUAUUGGGCGUAAAGCGCGUGUAGGCGGCUUAGCAAGUCGGGCGUGAAAGCCCUCGGCUCAACCGAGGAAGUGCACCCGAAACUGCUGAGCUUGAGUGCCGGAGAGGAUGGCGGAAUUCCCCCAAAGUAGAGGUGAAAAUUCGUAGAUAUGGGGGAGGAACACCGGGUGGCGA